CAGCAGCCACGGUAAUACGGGGGGGCAAGUGUUAUUCGGAAUGACUGGGCGUAAAGGGCACGUAGGCGGUGAAAAGGGUGGAAAGUGAAAGUCGCCAAAACACUGGCGGGGUGCUUUCUUGACCAUUUCACUUGAGUGAGAUAGGGGAGAGUGGAAUUUCGUGUGGAGGGAUCAAAUCCUAAGAUAUACGAAGGAACGCCAACCGCGAAGGCAGCUCCCUGGGUCCCCACUGACGCUGGGGUGCGAAAGCAUGGGGAGCAAACAGGAUCAGAUACCCCAGUAGUCCCUGUCUCUUAUACAC
RNAcentral lists this ribosomal RNA (301 nucleotides) under uncultured bacterium. Its description in RNAcentral is "partial 16S ribosomal RNA". It matches the Rfam family "Bacterial small subunit ribosomal RNA", at positions 509 to 809 of the family's 1533-position model. The record is from RNAcentral.